Long non-coding RNA from Hyalella azteca, 980 nucleotides. RefSeq lists it as uncharacterized. The record is from RefSeq and is a predicted model, not a curated record. The transcript has 3 exons. Lineage: Eukaryota; Metazoa; Arthropoda; Malacostraca; Amphipoda; Hyalellidae.
ACCAGAACCUUCGACUAAAUUUCCCAACCAACAGAUCCAAAAUGCAUUGCCCUCAAUUUCAAUGCAGCUGAGUACGACGUAGCAACAUGUGAUCCUCUUCUGUACAAUUACGCCAAGUGCGCGUUGACAUCUACUGGGCUCCUGAAGCCUGACAAGACAGUGGACGAUGUGGCCUUGCAGAAGGUUUUCUUGCAGAACAAAUGCAGCAAUGACACCAACUUCGCAAAGGCUUACCCGACAUGCAAGAGCUCCACCAUGAAAUAUUUGAACUUUUUUCGGCUCCGGUUGUGUCUCCAAAAUGCAGUGCCCUAACCAGCUCACUCAAUGGAGGAAAACAUAAUGAAUCGGAACAAGACUGACUGAACUCGCCCUCUAAUGGGAUUUUACCGGGAUUUUGGGGGGAUUUUUUUUUUUUUUUUGGUGCACGGGAUUUUCCUAUUUUAUAUUAAAUUUGGUAGUUUUUGCUCAACAAUAAUUUUAUUAUCCCGGUAAUGAGAUGUUAUGCGAAUAUCAUCAAUGCUAAAAAUUUCCCGAAAGUAUAAACAAUCUAUAGAUAUUUGAACUUGGCUAUUUAGACAGCAUACUUAGAUUGGUACAGAGACGAAAUUUAAAUUAUGUCAACCCACAUCAUGUGUGCAAUAGCACCAAUAGAUUAGGUGAUUUUAAUAUUCGUGAUAACUAAAUUCACGUAUCAAAGAUACCAGUCACACCACCUCACAAAUAAGGGUUGGUCCCAUCGUCACGACCACCUAUAAGUUCGGAUGCGAGUAGUACCAGCGCCCCAAUGGGCUAUUUGAGAAAUGCUUAAGACGAAGCGGGAUAUUAAAUGAUUAUGAACGGCUAUAAAUGCAGUUUAUUAAUAACGCGAAUUCCUAUUAAAUUUUGUAUUGCGGAAUGGUAGCUGAACUAAUUAAAAGGCAGCGCAGUGGUGAUAUAGCAGAUCUCGCUAUAUAACUAAUUUUAUUGCUGUAGUUAGGCAG